UGUUUCACAUGCUACAACUGAAGAGUUGCUUGCUUUAACUCUUUUUAAAGAGACACCCAAGUUGCUACAAAACCCCGGCUUCCUUGGAGUCCCCUAGUGGCCACCAUGGGAGUAUUACUGAUGUGCUGCAAAGCACGCGAUUCAGUGUUUCCACCUUUCUCGGCUGCAGGAAGGAAGAGAGGCAGCCAUGGAUAGAGGAUACUGUAUCUUCAGAGCUAGGAAGACCUGGCUUUACAGUCCUGCCCCUGAGAAGUACUGGUUGUGUGACUGGGCAAAUCAUUUAACCUCAUAGUCCAGUAGGCCAGAGGAAUCAAAGACCCAGCCCAUGUGACCUGCAACACUAUGGAGACCAGUUGAACCAAAUUAAAAUGUA
Molecule: long non-coding RNA, 373 nt
Organism: Vombatus ursinus (common wombat)
Lineage: Eukaryota; Metazoa; Chordata; Mammalia; Diprotodontia; Vombatidae
Exons: 3
Source: RefSeq, a predicted model, not a curated record